AUUGAACGCUGGCGGCAGGCCUAACACAUGCAAGUCGAGCGGAUGACGGGAGCUUGCUCCUUGAUUCAGCGGCGGACGGGUGAGUAAUGCCUAGGAAUCUGCCUGGUAGUGGGGGACAACGUUUCGAAAGGAACGCUAAUACCGCAUACGUCCUACGGGAGAAAGCAGGGGACCUUCGGGCCUUGCGCUAUCAGAUGAGCCUAGGUCGAAUUAGCGAGUGGGUGAGGUAAUGGCUCACCUAGGCGACGAUCCGUAACUGGUCUGAGAGGAUGAUCAGUCACACUGGAACUGAGACACGGUCCAGACUCCUACGGGAGGCAGCAGUGGGGAAUAUUGGACAAUGGGCGAAAGCCUGAUCCAGCCAUGCCGCGUGUGUGAAGAAGGUCUUCGGAUUGUAAAGCACUUUAAGUUGGGAGGAAGGGCAGUAAGUUAAUACCUUGCUGUUUUGACGUUACCGACAGAAUAAGCACCGGCUAACUCUGUGCCAGCAGCCGCCGCCG
RNAcentral lists this ribosomal RNA (500 nucleotides) under uncultured bacterium. Its description in RNAcentral is "partial 16S ribosomal RNA". It matches the Rfam family "Bacterial small subunit ribosomal RNA", at positions 30 to 523 of the family's 1533-position model. The record is from RNAcentral.